This 1672-nucleotide long non-coding RNA is filed under the name Musa acuminata (dwarf banana). RNAcentral describes it as "long non-coding RNA (MACU_LNC001883)". Lineage: Eukaryota; Viridiplantae; Streptophyta; Magnoliopsida; Zingiberales; Musaceae. The record is from RNAcentral.
UGUUUUGGUUGGUAUUCGAAUUAUUUGUUGUAUUUGGUGAAGGCUGAUGUUGAAUGAUAUGGGAAGGAAUCGAUCCGGUGAUGUUCAACGUGGUUAGCAUGGAAGUGAAGUGAUAUCGAGGAUUAAUUGAUAGUGGUGGAGUAGUCAUGAUUCAGCAGAUCACUGGUGCACGAUGUAAUGUGAAGUGACAGUAGCAAAUGAGAUGGAAGACCACGGGAAUGAAGACAAGGGUUGGUAGGUGGAUGAAUUUCACAAGAUAAAGUAUAUAAUUAUGUCAAGUUAUAGAGAAACCCGAAAAUGUUUCAUUACAAUCCACAAAGAAUCUUUAAAAGUUUCAUCAAGAACACAUCACAUUUCGAAACAUCUUCAUAGAAACCUAACUAGGGCACCAUUGAUGCAAACAAAAGGAAUUCUAGAAGAGAAAAAAGAAACGAUGAAAGGGCACUCUGCAGAGUCUCCAAUUCAGUAUCUGAAGACAGCAUAUCAUUUUUUGCUGGACAAAGGUGCCAAAUUUCUUUUUGUGAUAGUUGGCCUAGAUAGGGAUUUCUUUUGUUUAAAAGUGGUGGCCAAGGUUUAAAAACCAUGUUCUGAUGAGAAGCAAAUUGGCCAGUCUUGGAAGGAGGCAACAUGAACUUGUGAAUGGAAACUCUGCUUUGAAGUAAAAUUGCACCAUAGAUUCUGGUACACUUUUGUCAGAAUUUUAUGCUUUCUAUUUCCCUGGACUUCAUGCAUCAGUAAUGGGCCUAACAGGAGCAUGUGACUACUUGGCUGGUGGAAAUCUUUGCAUCCAUUUGCUCUGGUUUGAGUAUGGUGCAAAGCGUGGCAGUGGGUGAUGCUGUUGCAGAAGCCACAGUUGAGAGUGAAAGUAAUGUUCCAGCUGAAACCUCCUUGACCAAUAUUUUAGGCACAAUUUAAAAGGUUCUAGAAUUCUGACAGAUGUCGGACACCCAGUUUAAGGAAAAAUAUGAAUAUAUGAUCAUUAUGGAUAUCAUGAUUUCAGUGGCAUAUCAUUAAAUAGAAUGAUAAGUUCUGUCUUUUUCACACAAAUAAUAUCUACAUACAUUUGUUAGCUUGAUAAUCCUUUGCAGUAUCUUCUCUUUCUCAUGAGAUAGAAGACACUCAUGAUGCUCGAAUAAUGAUAUAAAUUGAUUUUAUAAAUUUCUAACCAGACAAGUUUUCUGAGUUCCUGCAUGUAUUUUUUUCUGCACUGAUGGUACAUUGCUCAUGGCCAUUAACCUUUUUUUUUAAUUAUUUAAUCACGGUUUCUGAUUCUAGGAUGCUCUUCAUCCUAUGUUUGUUCAAUCUCAACAUACUGUUUCAUCCUUGUUUGACUAGAUUUCAUCCAAGAAUUCAAGCACUUGUUGGUUCUGUGGUCUUAAUAUAAUAUUUUGUGACCGACCAUGAGCCUCUUGUCUUCCUGUUUUUCAGGUGAAGUUAAGAGAAUUGUCUCAGGUAUUAAACAGCUUCUUCUCUGAACAAAUGCAAGCUUUCUGUUUCAUAUGUUGCUUAGACUGUUUCCGGUUUUUUUUUUUCCUUUCUUUUUCCUAAUGCAGAGGUCUUAGGUUGACAAUUGACUUAUUGUUUUUGUUCUUCAUUGCAGAUUGGUUUUUGGGUGAGGCAGAGACUCCCACCUUCCUGUUCUUUUUUGUUUGCAUAAGCUAAAAUAUUCUUG